This is a non-coding RNA of Ceratotherium simum simum (southern white rhinoceros), 446 nucleotides long. The record is from RefSeq and is a predicted model, not a curated record. NCBI's taxonomy places the organism in Eukaryota, Metazoa, Chordata, Mammalia, Perissodactyla, Rhinocerotidae.
AGCCCCAUGUAGACAUAGUACAGGAUCCCUGGUGGGAGAAGACAGUAAGAAAAGAAGUAUACCACCUAUCAAUGAUGAUUUAAGGAUAUUCUUCGGAGAAAAGUGGUGAGGACAGAGGAUAGGAUGAAGGGCCAACAGAGAGAACCUCAGAAGACACAGGGACAAACAGGAACAGUUGGAGGAGAACGUGGAGCACCAGGAAGGAUGCUUUGCUGGAUGUCUCAGAGUAAGGGUGCCCUGAAGUAGGGGCCAUAGGGGCAGUAGUGGCGGGGCUACUCACCCAAGUCCAGAUGCAGGCCAAGAAUCGGCCGGAAGGGCUUGGGUACCACAAUGGUCGUGUUGCCAAAGUUGGUGAAAUAGACCAUGAGAAGAGGUAGUGAGGCAGCUGUGGGCAGCAGCAGCUUAUGGCGCCAGCGCAGAUUCAGUACAUCGUCCGCGAAGCCCAG